Molecule: ribosomal RNA, 273 nt
Filed under: uncultured bacterium
Lineage: Bacteria
Description: partial 16S ribosomal RNA
Rfam family: Bacterial small subunit ribosomal RNA
Source: RNAcentral
UACGUAGGGGGCGAGCGUUGUCCGGAUUCAUUGGGCGUAAAGCGCGCGCAGGCGGCUUCGUAAGUCGGCCGUGAAAUCUCCAGGCUCAACUUGGAGGGGUCGGGCGAGACUGCGGAGCUGGAGGCAGGUAGAGGGCGGUGGAAUUCCGGGUGUAGUGGUGGAAUGCGUAGAGAUCCGGAGGAACACCAGUGGCGAAGGCGGCCGCCUGGGCCUGACCUGACGCUGAGGCGCGAAAGCGUGGGGAGCGAUCCGGAUUAGAAACCCGCGUAGUCC